This 72-nucleotide transfer RNA is filed under the name Pangasius djambal. RNAcentral's name for it is "tRNA-Glu". The record is from RNAcentral. Lineage: Eukaryota; Metazoa; Chordata; Actinopteri; Siluriformes; Pangasiidae.
UCCCUGGAGGACUACUGGUUAGGCCACAGCAGUCUCUCCGCUGCAGCCCGGGUUCGAUUCCCGGCCAGGGAA